GACGAACGCUGGCGGCGUGCCUAAUACAUGCAAGUCGAACGCAGUGGGGACGGGUGAGUAACACGUGGGUAACCUCCCAUCAGAGGGGAUAACACUUGGAAACAGGUGCUAAACCGAUAUUGAAGGAUGGACCCGCGGUGCAUUAGCUAGUUGGUGAGGUAACGGAUCACCAAGGCCACGAUGCAUAGCUGACCUGAGUGGGUGACCCGGCACACUUUGACUGAGACAAGGCCCAGACUCCUACGGGAGGCAGCAGUAGGGAAUCUUCUGCAAUGGACGAAAGUCUGACCGAGCAACGCCGCGUGAGUGAAGAAGUUUUUCGGUUCGUAAAACUCUGUUGUUAGAGAAGCGGUAUCUACCCAGAAAGCCACGGCUAACUACGUGCCAGCAGCCGCGGUAAUUC
Molecule: ribosomal RNA, 403 nt
Filed under: uncultured bacterium
Lineage: Bacteria
Description: partial 16S ribosomal RNA
Rfam family: Bacterial small subunit ribosomal RNA
Source: RNAcentral